AGAAAGUGUUUUUCUAAUUGAAAUCGCCAUCUCUCCCUGCUGUUGACUCGUGAGCCAGGACCAGAUUGCUUAGUGAUCACUGAUGCCUUGCUGUGCAUGUGAAAGCAUUAAGUUGUCAGUUUAACAACGUGUUGUUUUUCAAGACAAUGCUUGUCACUUUAAGCACGUGCCCAGUACUGGUUUGUGUAUGGAGUACAUUCCUGCCAAGCAUUUCUGAGUUUUCUUUCAGUGGGUUAAAUGUGAUUUUUAGGUAUUUGAGGCACAUUAUCACUGUAAGCAGCAGGCAGUAGCCUCCAGCUUUGCUGUACUGAGCCAGCUGUUCGCAGGCAGAUGCUGCUCAGUACACACUGCCACAAUCAACUCAGUUCUUCAGUCAGUAGCAAGGAAAUUUGCUCAAGGGUUGCUUAUACAGAGGGGUGUCUUUGGAGGAAUUUGAUGGCAGAACAAAGCAGCGACUGCUUCACUUUUCUGUGCAGAGCUGGCAGUGCCUGCAGACAGAAGCCCUGCUCUGUUCCUUUCCUGGCAGCAUCCUCGUGCCUCUGGGAAUAGGAAGGGAGUGAACUGGAACAGUUCUGUACGGAGCCAGUAUCCUUCC
Molecule: long non-coding RNA, 595 nt
Filed under: Gallus gallus (chicken)
Lineage: Eukaryota; Metazoa; Chordata; Aves; Galliformes; Phasianidae
Description: lncRNA (ENSGALG00010012675.1)
Source: RNAcentral